GAUGAACGCUGGCGGCGUGCCUAAUACAUGCGAGUCGAGCGAACAGAUGAGGAGCUUGCUCCUCUGACGUUAGCGGCGGACGGGUGAGUAACACGUGGAUAACCUACCUAUAAGACUGGGAUAACUUCGGGAAACCGGAGCUAAUACCGGAUAAUAUAUUGAACCGCAUGGUUCAAUAGUGAAAGACGGUUUUGCUGUCACUUAUAGAUGGAUCCGCGCCGCAUUAGCUAGUUGGUAAGGUAACGGCUUACCAAGGCAACGAUGCGUAGCCGACCUGAGAGGGUGAUCGGCCACACUGGAACUGAGACACGGUCCAGACUCCUACGGGAGGCAGCAGUAGGGAAUCUUCCGCAAUGGGCGAAAGCCUGACGGAGCAACGCCGCGUGAGUGAUGAAGGUCUUCGGAUCGUAAAACUCUGUUAUUAGGGAAGAACAAAUGUGUAAGUAACUAUGCACGUCUAGACGGUACCUAAUCAGAAAGCCACGGCUAACUACGUG
RNAcentral lists this ribosomal RNA (497 nucleotides) under uncultured bacterium. Its description in RNAcentral is "partial 16S ribosomal RNA". It matches the Rfam family "Bacterial small subunit ribosomal RNA", at positions 28 to 507 of the family's 1533-position model. The record is from RNAcentral.